RNAcentral lists this ribosomal RNA (292 nucleotides) under uncultured bacterium. RNAcentral describes it as "partial 16S ribosomal RNA". It matches the Rfam family "Bacterial small subunit ribosomal RNA", at positions 505 to 796 of the family's 1533-position model. The record is from RNAcentral.
GUGCCAGCCGCCGCGGUAAGACGAAGGAUCCAAGCGUUAUCCGGAUUUAUUGGGUUUAAAGGGUGCGUAGGCGGAUUGAUAAGUCAGUGGUGAAAGCCUGUUGCUUAACAACAGAACUGCCAUUGAUACUGUCAAUCUUGAAUAUGUUUGAUGUGGGCGGAAUAUGACAUGUAGCGGUGAAAUGCUUAGAUAUGUCAUAGAACACCGAUUGCGAAGGCAGCUCACAAAGCCAUUAUUGACGCUGAGGCACGAAAGCGUGGGGAUCAAACAGGAUUAGAAACCCUCGUAGUCC